ACUGAUGACAAAGACAACAGAGAAAUGAAGCAGUAAAGAUCAGAGACAGAGACAGAGCUGCUGUGGAAGCACAAAACUGUUUGAUUGGCUGAGCUAUUAAACUGGCCCCGCCCACUGAAGUUGAGCUCAUCCAAUGACAUUAUUUGUUGGUCAUUGUGCUGCAGUGGAAGAACAUUGUUCAUGUGCUGUCUGUCUGGCUUUAAUAACUCCAAAGACAUGUUGCUGCACCUCUUUUUGCUUCUAUCUCACAUUAUAGGACUAACAGCUGGAGACUCAAUCACUCCUCAACAACCUGAAGUCAC
Molecule: long non-coding RNA, 302 nt
Organism: Haplochromis burtoni (Burton's mouthbrooder)
Lineage: Eukaryota; Metazoa; Chordata; Actinopteri; Cichliformes; Cichlidae
Exons: 2
Source: RefSeq, a predicted model, not a curated record